This 301-nucleotide ribosomal RNA is filed under the name uncultured bacterium. Its description in RNAcentral is "partial 16S ribosomal RNA". It matches the Rfam family "Bacterial small subunit ribosomal RNA", at positions 509 to 807 of the family's 1533-position model. The record is from RNAcentral.
CAGUCGCCGCGGUAAUGCGUAGGGUGCAAGCGUUAAUCGGAAUUACUGGGCGUAAAGCGUGCGCAGGCGGUUAUAUAAGUCAGAUGUGAAAUCCCCGGGCUUAACCUGGGAGCUGCGCUUGUGACUGCACAGCUAGAGUAUGGCAGAGGGGGGUGGAAUUCCACGUGUAGCAGUGAAAUGCGUAGAGAUGUGGAGGAACACCGAUGGCGAAGGCAGCCCCCUGGGCCAAUACUGACGCUCAUGCACGAAAGCUAGGGGAGCAAAUGGGAUUAGAUACCCCCGUAGUCCCUGUCUCUUAUAC